GCUGCGGGCGAGACACUGCGUGGUGGCUGCAGAACACCAGAGCGGGGCCCGGUCCCAGCUCCUCGUCCCCAAGAACGCCUUUCUCUUCUCUAGUCAUUAUCUAGCACCUGGAAUGCUCUUUCAAAGGCCAGAAAAGCCAAAUAAUGCAGAACAAAGCAUGCUAAUGAGAGAAGUGUAUUGCAAUGCACUUGAUGAGUUCCAGAGAGAGAAGUGUACUGCUUUAUGCACUUGAUGUGUUCCAGAGAGAGAAAAGUGUACUGCUAUGCACUUGAUGAGUUCCAGAGAGAGAAGUGUACUGCUAUGCACUUGAUGUGUUCCAGAGAGAGAAGUGUACUGCUAUGCACUUGAUGUGUUCCAGAGAGAGAAGUGUACUGCUAUGCACUUGAUGUGUUCCAGAGAGAGAAGUGUACUGCUUUAUGCACUUGAUGUGUUCCAGAGAGAGAGAAGUGUACUGCUAUGCACUUGAUGUGUUCCAGAGAAGCUGUUUCGCUGACAUCUGCAAGUGGGAUUGUUUCACACCUCACACAAGCACACUGUGACUUUAAGAGUGUGACAGUCCUUCCUAAAUGUGUCAUCAGCAAUCACCUGCUUGGGUGUCAUGGGGGAGGCCCCAGUCCAACCCGCAAGGAGCAGCCGCCGAGUUUCAGUGGGCGCCGGCACAGUCCAAGGCGGCGCUGGGUCCUGGACCUCAGCGAGGGCCGUCAUCACCUCGUCACCUCUGCCUGCCGAGCUCUCGUCCCGCUGAGACCUGAGCGCUCAGUGCGGGAGGCCUUCCGGGACGCGGUGCCCAUGGCUCCUCUGGGGCGGGCCUUCCUGGCCGGCCCACCCAGGAUGACAGCUCCACGCCCAUGCCAGCUCUGCCCCUCACCCCGCACUGCUGUUUGAUAUAAACCUACUCAUUUUCUGUGCUCUUCCCCAGUAAAACAUUUGCUCUGUGA
Non-coding RNA from Oryctolagus cuniculus (rabbit), 938 nucleotides. Lineage: Eukaryota; Metazoa; Chordata; Mammalia; Lagomorpha; Leporidae. The record is from RefSeq and is a predicted model, not a curated record.